This 497-nucleotide ribosomal RNA is filed under the name uncultured bacterium. Its description in RNAcentral is "partial 16S ribosomal RNA". It matches the Rfam family "Bacterial small subunit ribosomal RNA", at positions 28 to 507 of the family's 1533-position model. The record is from RNAcentral.
GACGAACGCUGGCGGCGUGCCUAAUACAUGCAAGUUGAGCGAUGAAGAUUGGUGCUUGCACCAAUUUGAAGAGCAGCGAACGGGUGAGUAACGCGUGGGGAAUCUGCCUUUGAGCGGGGGACAACAUUUGGAAACGAAUGCUAAUACCGCAUAACAACUUUAAACAUAAGUUUUAAGUUUGAAAGAUGCAAUUGCAUCACUCAAAGAUGAUCCCGCGUUGUAUUAGCUAGUUGGUGAGGUAAAGGCUCACCAAGGCGAUGAUACAUAGCCGACCUGAGAGGGUGAUCGGCCACAUUGGGACUGAGACACGGCCCAAACUCCUACGGGAGGCAGCAGUAGGGAAUCUUCGGCAAUGGACGAAAGUCUGACCGAGCAACGCCGCGUGAGUGAAGAAGGUUUUCGGAUCGUAAAACUCUGUUGGUAGAGAAGAACGUUGGUGAGAGUGGAAAGCUCACCAAGUGACGGUAACUACCCAGAAAGGGACGGCUAACUACGUG